RNAcentral lists this ribosomal RNA (327 nucleotides) under uncultured eukaryote. RNAcentral describes it as "partial 18S ribosomal RNA". It matches the Rfam family "Eukaryotic small subunit ribosomal RNA", at positions 1470 to 1796 of the family's 1831-position model. The record is from RNAcentral.
CCCUUAGAUGUUCUGGGCCGCACGCGCGCUACACUGACGAAUGCAACGAGCUUAUAACCUUGGCCGAAAGGUCUGGGUAAUCUCCAAAUUUCGUCGUGAUGGGGAUAGAUUAUUGCAAUUAUUAAUCUUCAACGAGGAAUGCCUAGUAAGCGCAAGUCAUCAGCUUGCGUUGAUUACGUCCCUGCCCUUCGUACACACCGCCCGUCGCUCCUACCGAUUGAAUGGUCCGGUGAAGCGUUCGGACCGUGGCCUUUGGACGGUUCGCCGUCUGUUGGCUGCGGGAAGUUCGUUAAACCUUAUCAUUUAGAGGAAGGAGAAGUCGUAACA